UUAGAGCUACAGUGCCUCCACAACAAGGGCGGAAAUCACAGAACCGCUCUCCCUCCUAAGGAAACCCCAGAAACAUCCAAACCGCUAGAGCCAGCAGAUGACUUGGAUCCCAAGACGAUGCUCAGAAUCACGCCAGGAAUCAAUCGCCUGAUCAUCACCGUUUCAGUCCUCUUCUCCUUCAUUCUCGGAAUCCCAUUGAUAUACAAAUCCGUGGAAAUCCCAUUGAUUUCUAAGACUAAUAGCUUUGCAUCUCCAGUUAGUUAUCAUGCAUUCACCAUCUUAUGUUUUCUUAUGCUAAUCUUCCUGCCAAUUUCAAUAGACGUUCUCCUGGCAGCUCUACGAGAAUGGAGAAGAUACAAGCAAGAAAAUAAGAGGUAGUUAGCACGGAAGACCAAAGUGAACAAAGCAUCUUGAUCGUAGUCGACACGUAGCACUUUUCUGUUAUUUGUGAUACAUGCGUGUUUCUUGCGGCCUUGGGGAGUAGACCAAGGGGUAAGGAAGGGAUGCAUCGAAAAGGCAGAAGAUGACCUUCUUGAGUACGUGCCAUUGAAUUUGAGGAGGCGGCUGCGGUGUUCAGGGCGGCGGAAUUAUUUGUUAGUGUUAGCCGUUCGGUUCCCUUUUCAGAUUCAUUAGGGAUGUAUUUGCCCAAAUAUAUAUUUCAUCUCAAAACCGCCUUGGGGGAUCUUUAAUCA
Pyrus x bretschneideri (Chinese white pear) is the source of this 692-nucleotide long non-coding RNA. RefSeq lists it as uncharacterized. The transcript is spliced from 2 exons. NCBI's taxonomy places the organism in Eukaryota, Viridiplantae, Streptophyta, Magnoliopsida, Rosales, Rosaceae. The record is from RefSeq and is a predicted model, not a curated record.